RNAcentral lists this ribosomal RNA (429 nucleotides) under Chloroflexota bacterium. Its description in RNAcentral is "Chloroflexi bacterium partial 16S ribosomal RNA". It matches the Rfam family "Bacterial small subunit ribosomal RNA", at positions 355 to 776 of the family's 1533-position model. The record is from RNAcentral. Lineage: Bacteria; Bacillati; Chloroflexota.
UGGGGAAUAUUGCACAAUGGGCGCAAGCCUGAUGCAGCCAUGCCGCGUGUAUGAAGAAGGCCUUCGGGUUGUAAAGUACUUUCAGUCGGGAGGAAGGUGUCAAGGUUAAUAACCUUGGCAAUUGACGUUACCGACAGAAGAAGCACCGGCUAACUCCGUGCCAGCAGCCGCGGUAAUACGGAGGGUGCGAGCGUUAAUCGGAAUUACUGGGCGUAAAGCGCACGCAGGCGGUUGAUUGAGUCAGAUGUGAAAUCCCCGGGCUUAACCCGGGAAUUGCAUCUGAUACUGGUCAGCUAGAGUCUUGUAGAGGGGGGUAGAAUUCCAUGUGUAGCGGUGAAAUGCGUAGAGAUGUGGAGGAAUACCGGUGGCGAAGGCGGCCCCCUGGACAAAGACUGACGCUCAGGUGCGAAAGCGUGGGGAGCAAACAGG